This 253-nucleotide ribosomal RNA is filed under the name uncultured bacterium. RNAcentral's name for it is "partial 16S ribosomal RNA". It matches the Rfam family "Bacterial small subunit ribosomal RNA", at positions 524 to 776 of the family's 1533-position model. The record is from RNAcentral.
UACAGAGGGGGCAAGCGUUGUUCGGAAUUACUGGGCGUAAAGGGCGCGUAGGCGGCCUGCUAAGUCGAACGUGAAAUCCCCGGGCUCAACCCGGGAACUGCGUCCGAUACUGGCAGGCUUGAAUCCGGGAGAGGGAUGCGGAAUUCCAGGUGUAGCGGUGAAAUGCGUAGAUACUGGGAGGAACACCGGUGGCGAAGGCGGCUACCUGGACCGGUUCUGACGCUGAUGCGCGAAAGCGUGGGUAGCAAACAGG